This is a non-coding RNA of Cinara cedri, 511 nucleotides long. The record is from the annotation of a GenBank genome assembly. NCBI's taxonomy places the organism in Eukaryota, Metazoa, Arthropoda, Insecta, Hemiptera, Aphididae.
CUUUUAUGAAAACCGUUAAGAAAAUUUUAUGAAAAUCAAAAAUUGACUUUCCUUAAGUAGCAUGCAGAUAAAAAAAAGGUUUCCUUAGAAAAGGUCCUACACUUUAACACUUGAUACAUCAGAGCAAGAUUUCUGGUAGAAAACUUUGCACAAAAAAUCGAGGGGUGUUUUGUAAUUAAAAUAAUCUGAGCGAACGAUGGCUUGGGUCUCUAGAAACACUCGAAAUGCAUUUGUUUUUUUUUCUAGUUUAGGUAAAAGGAAAAAAAAUGCAAAAUAUUUUUAUUUUUUUUUUGAAAGACGGGUUCGAACUUGCAAACCAUAGGAUGAAACAGAUAUGUAUAAAUUAAUGGUUGUUCAUCUACGAGAAACAUAUUUAAGGGAAAACAAUAUUUAGUUAUAACAUAACAUAACAUAAAAUGUCCGCAUAAUAUUAGAAAUUCAAUAAGCUAUAAUUUCGAAACUUAGUCUGCUCAAUUCUGACUUCACCAUCGUUCUUAAAUCGGUAAUAUAC